GGAAUAUUGGACAAUGGGGGCAACCCUGAUCCAGCGAUGCCGCGUGAGUGAAGAAGGCCCUCGGGUCGUAAAGCUCUUUAGGUUGGGAAGAAGUGUACUCGGUGAAUAUCCGGGUAUGUUGACGGUACCGACAGAAUAAGCACCGGCAAACUCUGUGCCAGCAGCCGCGGUAAUACAGAGGGUGCGAGCGUUAAUCGGAGUUACUGGGCGUAAAGGGCGCGUAGGCGGUAAGAUGUGUGUGGUGUGAAAGCCCCGGGCUUAACCUGGGAAGUGCAUCGCAAACUAUCUAACUGGAGUAUAUGAGAGGGUGGCGGAAUUUCCGGUGUAGCGGUGAAAUGCGUAGAGAUCGGAAGGAACGUCAAUGGCGAAGGCAGCCACCUGGCAUAAUACUGACGCUGAGGCGCGAAAGCGUGGGGAGCGAA
RNAcentral lists this ribosomal RNA (422 nucleotides) under uncultured bacterium. Its description in RNAcentral is "bacterial SSU rRNA". It matches the Rfam family "Bacterial small subunit ribosomal RNA", at positions 358 to 772 of the family's 1533-position model. The record is from RNAcentral.